UAAGCGACUAAGCGUACACGGUGGAUGCCCUGGCAGUCAGAGGCGAUGAAGGACGUGCUAAUCUGCGAUAAGCGUCGGUAAGGUGAUAUGAACCGUUAUAACCGGCGAUUUCCGAAUGGGGAAACCCAGUGUGAUUCGUCACACUAUCAUUAACUGAAUCCAUAGGUUAAUGAGGCGAACCGGGGGAACUGAAACAUCUAAGUACCCCGAGGAAAAGAAAUCAACCGAGAUUCCCCCAGUAGCGGCGAGCGAACGGGGAGCAGCCCAGAGCCUGAAUCAGUGUGUGUGUUAGUGGAAGCGUCUGGAAAGGCGCGCGAUACAGGGUGACAGCCCCGUACACAAAAAUGCACAUGCUGUGAGCUCGAUGAGUAGGGCGGGACACGUGGUAUCCUGUCUGAAUAUGGGGGGACCAUCCUCCAAGGCUAAUACUCCUGACUGACCGAUAGUGAACCUAGUACCGUGAGGGAAAGGCGAAAAGAACCCCGGCGAGGGGAGUGAAAAAGAACCUGAAACCGUGUACGUACAAGCAGUGGGAGCACGCUUAGGCGUGUGACUGCGUACCUUUUGUAUAAUGGGUCAGCGACUUAUAUUCUGUAGCAAGGUUAACCGAAUAGGGGAGCCGAAGGGAAACCGAGUCUUAACUGGGCGUUAAGUUGCAGGGUAUAGACCCGAAACCCGGUGAUCUAGCCAUGGGCAGGUUGAAGGUUGGGUAACACUAACUGGAGGACCGAACCGACUAAUGUUGAAAAAUUAGCGGAUGACUUGUGGCUGGGGGUGAAAGGCCAAUCAAACCGGGAGAUAGCUGGUUCUCCCCGAAAGCUAUUUAGGUAGCGCUCGUGAAUUCAUCUCCGGGGGUAGAGCACUGUUUCGGCAAGGGGUCAUCCCGACUUACCAACCCGAUGCAAACUGCGAAUACCGGAGAAUGUUAUCACGGGAGACACACGGCGGGUGCUAACGUCCGUCGUGAAGAGGGAAACAACCCAGACCGCCAGCUAAGGUCCCAAAGUCAUGGUUAAGUGGGAAACGAUGUGGGAAGGCCCAGACAGCCAGGAUGUUGGCUUAGAAGCAGCCAUCAUUUAAAGAAAGCGUAAUAGCUCACUGGUCGAGUCGGCCUGCGCGGAAGAUGUAACGGGGCUAAACCAUGCACCGAAGCUGCGGCAGCGACGCUGAUGCGUUGUUGGGUAGGGGAGCGUUCUGUAAGCCUGCGAAGGUGUGCUGUGAGGCAUGCUGGAGGUAUCAGAAGUGCGAAUGCUGACAUAAGUAACGAUAAAGCGGGUGAAAAGCCCGCUCGCCGGAAGACCAAGGGUUCCUGUCCAACGUUAAUCGGGGCAGGGUGAGUCGACCCCUAAGGCGAGGCCGAAAGGCGUAGUCGAUGGGAAACAGGUUAAUAUUCCUGUACUUGGUGUUACUGCGAAGGGGGGACGGAGAAGGCUAUGUUGGCCGGGCGACGGUUGUCCCGGUUUAAGCGUGUAGGCUGGUUUUCCAGGCAAAUCCGGAAAAUCAAGGCUGAGGCGUGAUGACGAGGCACUACGGUGCUGAAGCAACAAAUGCCCUGCUUCCAGGAAAAGCCUCUAAGCAUCAGGUAACAUCAAAUCGUACCCCAAACCGACACAGGUGGUCAGGUAGAGAAUACCAAGGCGCUUGAGAGAACUCGGGUGAAGGAACUAGGCAAAAUGGUGCCGUAACUUCGGGAGAAGGCACGCUGAUAUGUAGGUGAAGUCCCUCGCGGAUGGAGCUGAAAUCAGUCGAAGAUACCAGCUGGCUGCAACUGUUUAUUAAAAACACAGCACUGUGCAAACACGAAAGUGGACGUAUACGGUGUGACGCCUGCCCGGUGCCGGAAGGUUAAUUGAUGGGGUCAGCGCAAGCGAAGCUCUUGAUCGAAGCCCCGGUAAACGGCGGCCGUAACUAUAACGGUCCUAAGGUAGCGAAAUUCCUUGUCGGGUAAGUUCCGACCUGCACGAAUGGCGUAAUGAUGGCCAGGCUGUCUCCACCCGAGACUCAGUGAAAUUGAACUCGCUGUGAAGAUGCAGUGUACCCGCGGCAAGACGGAAAGACCCCGUGAACCUUUACUAUAGCUUGACACUGAACAUUGAGCCUUGAUGUGUAGGAUAGGUGGGAGGCUUUGAAGUGUGGACGCCAGUCUGCAUGGAGCCGACCUUGAAAUACCACCCUUUAAUGUUUGAUGUUCUAACGUUGACCCGUAAUCCGGGUUGCGGACAGUGUCUGGUGGGUAGUUUGACUGGGGCGGUCUCCUCCUAAAGAGUAACGGAGGAGCACGAAGGUUGGCUAAUCCUGGUCGGACAUCAGGAGGUUAGUGCAAUGGCAUAAGCCAGCUUGACUGCGAGCGUGACGGCGCGAGCAGGUGCGAAAGCAGGUCAUAGUGAUCCGGUGGUUCUGAAUGGAAGGGCCAUCGCUCAACGGAUAAAAGGUACUCCGGGGAUAACAGGCUGAUACCGCCCAAGAGUUCAUAUCGACGGCGGUGUUUGGCACCUCGAUGUCGGCUCAUCACAUCCUGGGGCUGAAGUAGGUCCCAAGGGUAUGGCUGUUCGCCAUUUAAAGUGGUACGCGAGCUGGGUUUAGAACGUCGUGAGACAGUUCGGUCCCUAUCUGCCGUGGGCGCUGGAGAAUUGAGGGGGGCUGCUCCUAGUACGAGAGGACCGGAGUGGACGCAUCACUGGUGUUCGGGUUGUCAUGCCAAUGGCACUGCCCGGUAGCUAAAUGCGGAAGAGAUAAGUGCUGAAAGCAUCUAAGCACGAAACUUGCCCCGAGAUGAGUUCUCCCUGACUCCUUGAGAGUCCUGAAGGAACGUUGAAGACGACGACGUUGAUAGGCCGGGUGUGUAAGCGCAGCGAUGCGUUGAGCUAACCGGUACUAAUGAACCGUGAGGCUUAACCU
RNAcentral lists this ribosomal RNA (2898 nucleotides) under Escherichia coli DEC14D. RNAcentral's name for it is "bacterial LSU rRNA". It matches the Rfam family "Bacterial large subunit ribosomal RNA". Lineage: Bacteria; Pseudomonadati; Pseudomonadota; Gammaproteobacteria; Enterobacterales; Enterobacteriaceae. The record is from RNAcentral.